AUUUUUUAUUUUAUAUGAAAAUAUGACAAGGUGGGUCUCACCUUCAAACCUUUACAUCGGAAGAGCACAGGUC
Sinocyclocheilus rhinocerous is the source of this 73-nucleotide long non-coding RNA. RefSeq lists it as uncharacterized. The transcript has 3 exons. Lineage: Eukaryota; Metazoa; Chordata; Actinopteri; Cypriniformes; Cyprinidae. The record is from RefSeq and is a predicted model, not a curated record.